RNAcentral lists this ribosomal RNA (680 nucleotides) under Novosphingobium sp. SMCC G950. RNAcentral describes it as "bacterial SSU rRNA". It matches the Rfam family "Bacterial small subunit ribosomal RNA", at positions 20 to 747 of the family's 1533-position model. Lineage: Bacteria; Pseudomonadati; Pseudomonadota; Alphaproteobacteria; Sphingomonadales; Sphingomonadaceae. The record is from RNAcentral.
UGGCUCAGAACGAACGCUGGCGGCAUGCCUAACACAUGCAAGUCGAACGAACCCUUCGGGGUUAGUGGCGCACGGGUGCGUAACGCGUGGGAAUCUGCCCUUUGCUUCGGAAUAACAGUUAGAAAUGACUGCUAAUACCGGAUGAUGUCUUCGGACCAAAGAUUUAUCGGCAAGGGAUGAGCCCGCGUAGGAUUAGGUAGUUGGUGGGGUAAAGGCCUACCAAGCCGACGAUCCUUAGCUGGUCUGAGAGGAUGAUCAGCCACACUGGGACUGAGACACGGCCCAGACUCCUACGGGAGGCAGCAGUGGGGAAUAUUGGACAAUGGGCGCAAGCCUGAUCCAGCAAUGCCGCGUGAGUGAUGAAGGCCUUCGGGUCGUAAAGCUCUUUUACCAGGGAUGAUAAUGACAGUACCUGGAGAAUAAGCUCCGGCUAACUCCGUGCCAGCAGCCGCGGUAAUACGGAGGGAGCUAGCGUUGUUCGGAAUUACUGGGCGUAAAGCGCACGUAGGCGGCUACUCAAGUCAGAGGUGAAAGCCCGGGGCUCAACCCCGGAACUGCCUUUGAAACUAGGUAGCUGGAAUCUUGGAGAGGUCAGUGGAAUUCCGAGUGUAGAGGUGAAAUUCGUAGAUAUUCGGAAGAACACCAGUGGCGAAGGCGACUGACUGGACAAGUAUGACGCU